UUGCUUCAACCGCCGCAUUGUAAAGAUCGGAGAAAAGCUUCUACCUCCAUUAAUAAUUUAAUUAUUGUUUCAGUUCAUGCUAAUAUUAUAUACUGAAUCGAUAACGCCGAAUGUGGAACGGAAAUGAGAAGAUGCACAAGCGACCCCCAAAACAUGGAACACGAAAAGGCAUUGCAUGUCACGUCUAUUCUGUACUUCGUCGGUGGAAAUACCUCGUCCGUAGUAGAGGAUAUAACCACAGAUGGACAUAACAAAACCUGUGCUGCCUGAACAAUCGAAAAUGCAAUGUGAUACAAUAAUCACUAGACUACAGAACCAACAUGGAUGACCGUUAUACGAGACGAUACAAACUAUCCUAGAAUUUGUGAAAUCCAACGGUGACGUUCUUCUCUGAUAUACGAGAUUUUAUGGAUAACCACAAAUUUGCGGAACCUGAGAUGAAAAAUUUCAGCACCAUAGAAUCUAACACUGAUCACCCCAGAUUUAUGAAACGAAAUUAAUUUGGACUAUCUCUUUUAAUCUAACAAUUUACAAAUUAUCAACAUUAUGGUCACAAGUAUGAUAAUAAGCGAAAUGAAGUUCUAAAAGAAAAUCUUACAAAUUAGAACAUCUUCUAUUAUCCUAUUUGACGUAUUAACGGUAUUUAACGGUAUCAACCAAUGUUCUAUACAUAUUUAAUAAUUCUUCAAAGAGGAGGAUUGUAUGUAUAAUCAAAUGACACAGAAAUCGUACUUCUAUUAAUUGUACAAUACAUUGUAGGAACAAAAUGAACAUGU
This is a long non-coding RNA of Bombus pyrosoma, 776 nucleotides long. RefSeq lists it as uncharacterized. The transcript is spliced from 3 exons. Lineage: Eukaryota; Metazoa; Arthropoda; Insecta; Hymenoptera; Apidae. The record is from RefSeq and is a predicted model, not a curated record.